GACGAACGCUGGCGGCGCGCCUAACACAUGCAAGUUGAACGAGCAAAGAGGAGCUUGCUUCUCUGAGCGAGUGGCGAACGGGUGAGUAACGCGUGAGGAACCUGCCUCAAAGAGGGGGACAACAGUUGGAAACGACUGCUAAUACCGCAUAAGCCCACGGGUCGGCAUCGACCAGAGGGAAAAGGAGCAAUCCGCUUUGAGAUGGCCUCGCGUCCGAUUAGCUAGUUGGUGAGGUAAUGGCCCACCAAGGCGACGAUCGGUAGCCGGACUGAGAGGUUGAACGGCCACAUUGGGACUGAGACACGGCCCAGACUCCUACGGGAGGCAGCAGUGGGGAAUAUUGCACAAUGGGGGAAACCCUGAUGCAGCGACGCCGCGUGGAGGAAGAAGGUCUUCGGAUUGUAAACUCCUGUUGUUGAGGAAGAUAAUGACGGUACUCAACAAGGAAGUGA
This 452-nucleotide ribosomal RNA is filed under the name uncultured bacterium. Its description in RNAcentral is "bacterial SSU rRNA". It matches the Rfam family "Bacterial small subunit ribosomal RNA", at positions 28 to 493 of the family's 1533-position model. The record is from RNAcentral.